CACCGGCAGCUCUAGUGGUAGCAAUUUUUAUUGGGCCUAAAGCGUCCGUAGCCGGUUUAAUAAGUCUCUGGUGAAAUCCUGUAGCUUAACUGUGGGAAUUGCUGGAGAUACUAUUAGACUUGAGAUCGGGAGAGGUUAGAGGUACUCCCAGGGUAGAGGUGAAAUUCUGUAAUCCUGGGAGGACCGCCUGUUGCGAAGGCGUCUAACUGGAACGAUUCUGACGGUGAGGGACGAAAGUUAGGGGCGCGAACCGGAUUAGAUACCCGGGUAGUCCUAACUGUAAACGAUGCGGACUUGGUGUUGGGGUGGCUUUGAGCUGCUCCAGUGCCGAAGGGAAGCUGUUAAGUCCGCCGCCUGGGAAGUACGGUCGCAAGACUGAAACUUAA
This 386-nucleotide ribosomal RNA is filed under the name uncultured methanogenic archaeon. RNAcentral describes it as "bacterial SSU rRNA". It matches the Rfam family "Archaeal small subunit ribosomal RNA", at positions 474 to 859 of the family's 1478-position model. Lineage: Archaea; Methanobacteriati; Methanobacteriota. The record is from RNAcentral.